CCUACGGGGGGCAGCAGUGAGGAAUAUUGGUCAAUGGACGAGAGUCUGAACCAGCCAAGUAGCGUGAAGGAUGACUGCCCUAUGGGUUGUAAACUUCUUUUAUAUGGGAAUAAAACGUUCCAUGUGUGGGAUUUUGUAUGUACCAUAUGAAUAAGGAUCGGCUAACUCCGUGCCAGCAGCCGCGGUAAUACGGAGGAUCCGAGCGUUAUCCGGAUUUAUUGGGUUUAAAGGGAGCGUAGGUGGAUUGUUAAGUCAGUUGUGAAAGUUUGCGGCUCAACCGUAAAAUUGCAGUUGAAACUGGCAGUCUUGAGUACAGUAGAGGUGGGCGGAAUUCGUGGUGUAGCGGUGAAAUGCUUAGAUAUCACGAAGAACUCCGAUUGCGAAGGCAGUUCACUGGACUGCAACUGACACUGAGGCUCGAAAGUGUGGGUAUCAAACAGGAUUAGAUACCCCUGUAGUC
Molecule: ribosomal RNA, 460 nt
Filed under: uncultured bacterium
Lineage: Bacteria
Description: partial 16S ribosomal RNA
Rfam family: Bacterial small subunit ribosomal RNA
Source: RNAcentral